CAUAGAGUGCUGAGAAUGUCAUCUAUUCUUGCAGGAAAAUACUGAAGUCCUCGGCUACCUGCUGGGUGUCAUUGCUGCCUUGGGCGCCUGGGCCUCUCGGAUACCCCCACUCUCCAGAAUCUGCCGGGGGAAGUCAUUCUCCUACAUCCACCUGUGGACACGGCUACUAUCCGCCCUGGCGGGCCUCCUCUACGCCUCAGCCAUCGUGGCCCAUGACCGGCAGCCUGAGUACCUGCUUCGGGCUACACCCUGGUUCCUGACCUCCCUUGGCCGUGCUGCUCUGGACCUUGCUGUAUCCACUCUAGGCCCCAUGGGUGGGGGAGGGAGGAGCUGAUUGCAGCCAGAGGAGGCCGGCCUGUGUCUCACCCCCAUACUCCCUCCUUCCCUCUUGUCG
RNAcentral lists this long non-coding RNA (394 nucleotides) under Ictidomys tridecemlineatus (thirteen-lined ground squirrel). RNAcentral describes it as "lncRNA (ENSSTOG00000031888.1)". The record is from RNAcentral. Lineage: Eukaryota; Metazoa; Chordata; Mammalia; Rodentia; Sciuridae.